RNAcentral lists this transfer RNA (81 nucleotides) under Candidatus Uhrbacteria bacterium. Its description in RNAcentral is "tRNA-Leu". It matches the Rfam family "tRNA". Rfam says of the family: Transfer RNA (tRNA) molecules are approximately 80 nucleotides in length. Their secondary structure includes four short double-helical elements and three loops (D, anti-codon, and T loops). Further hydrogen bonds mediate the characteristic L-shaped molecular structure. tRNAs have two regions of fundamental functional importance: the anti-codon, which is responsible for specific mRNA codon recognition, and the 3' end, to which the tRNAs corresponding amino acid is attached (by aminoacyl-tRNA synthetases). tRNAs cope with the degeneracy of the genetic code in two manners: having more than one tRNA (with a specific anti-codon) for a particular amino acid; and 'wobble' base-pairing, i.e. permitting non-standard base-pairing at the 3rd anti-codon position. Lineage: Bacteria; Candidatus Uhriibacteriota. The record is from RNAcentral.
GCCGGGGUGGUGAAAUGGUAUACACGCCAGCCUUAGGAGCUGGUGCCGCAAGGCGUGCGAGUUCGAGUCUCGCUCCCGGCA